RNAcentral lists this ribosomal RNA (516 nucleotides) under uncultured bacterium. Its description in RNAcentral is "partial 16S ribosomal RNA". It matches the Rfam family "Bacterial small subunit ribosomal RNA", at positions 28 to 523 of the family's 1533-position model. The record is from RNAcentral.
GAUGAACGCUGGCGGCGUGCCUAAUACAUGCAGGUCGAGCGGAUGGAUUAAGAGCUUGCUCUUAUGAAGUUAGCGGCGGACGGGUGAGUAACACGUGGGUAACCUGCCCAUAAGACUGGGAUAACUCCGGGAAACCGGGGCUAAUACCGGAUAACAUUUUGAACCGCAUGGUUCGAAAUUGAAAGGCGGCUUCGGCUGUCACUUAUGGAUGGACCCGCGUCGGCAUUAGCUAGUUGGUGAGGUAACGGCUCACCAAGGCAACGAUGCGUAGCCGACCUGAGAGGGUGAUCGGCCACACUGGGACUGAGACACGGCCCAGACUCCUACGGGAGGCAGCAGUAGGGAAUCUUACGCAAUGGACGAAAGUCUGACGGAGCAACGCCGCGUGAGUGAUGAAGGCUUUCGGGUCGUAAAACUCUGUUGUUAGGGAAGAACAAGUGCUAGUUGAAUAAGCUGGCACCUUGACGGUACCUAACCAGAAAGCCACGGCUAACUACGUGCCAGCCGCCGCGGUAA